GCGGCGGCUACACAUGCAUGUCGAGCGCGCCUUCGGGUGAGCGGCGGACGGGUUAGUAACGCGUGGGAACGUGCCCUUCUCUACGGAAUAGCCUCUGGAAACGGAGAGUAAUACCGUAUACGCCCUUUGGGGGAAAGAUUUAUCGGAGAAGGAUCGGCCCGCGUUAGAUUACGUAGUUGGUGGGGUAACGGCCUACCAAGCCUACGAUCUAUAGCUGGUUUUAGAGGAUGAUCAGCAACACUGGGACUGAGACACGGCCCAGACUCCUACGGGAGGCAGCAGUGGGGAAUCUUAGACAAUGGGGGCAACCCUGAUCUAGCCAUGCCGCGUGAGUGAUGAAGGCCUUAGGGUCGUAAAGCUCUUUCGCCUGUGAUGAUAAUGACAGUAGCAGGUAAAGAAACCCCGGCUAACUCCGUGCCAGCAGCCGCGGUAAUACGGAGGGGGUUAGCGUUGUUCGGAAUUACUGGGCGUAAAGCGCGCGUAGGCGGAUUAGAAAGUUGGGGGUGAAAUCCCGGGGCUCAACCCCGGAACUGCCUCCAAAACUGCUAGUCUAGAGUUCGGGAGAGGUGAGUGGAAUCCCGAGUGUAGAGGUGAAAUUCGUAGAUAUUCGGAGGAACACCAGUGGCGAAGGCGGCUCACUGGCUCGAUACUGACGCUGAGGU
Molecule: ribosomal RNA, 662 nt
Filed under: uncultured Ruegeria sp.
Lineage: Bacteria; Pseudomonadati; Pseudomonadota; Alphaproteobacteria; Rhodobacterales; Roseobacteraceae
Description: bacterial SSU rRNA
Rfam family: Bacterial small subunit ribosomal RNA
Source: RNAcentral